Molecule: long non-coding RNA, 1602 nt
Organism: Phyllostomus hastatus (greater spear-nosed bat)
Lineage: Eukaryota; Metazoa; Chordata; Mammalia; Chiroptera; Phyllostomidae
Exons: 2
Source: RefSeq, a predicted model, not a curated record
AAGGGCGGGGUAGGGUGGGCAGCUCCAAGGUUGCCCCUAACGACCUGAGUCGGGGCCGGGACUCAGCAGUCUCUGUCUGGCCUCGAGACCGCCCUGGCUCGUAUGCUGCUUGGGUGUGAAUGCCUUCCCCCUGCCUGCCCCCACCCUCUCUCUAGAGGAUGCCUACAGAGCCCCGACUGCAGUAUUUGCGUGCUUCAAGCUGGAAGACACAGAACGACUUUCCUAGCUCACGGUUGCUUUCACAAGCCGGGGACUUUCACCUUUUGUUUUUAAGAACUCCCAGACCCUUCCUUGCCCUGUUCAGAGCUGGUCCUUCUUCAGAAAUCCUCAGCUUUGAUGCCUCCACUGCUAAAAGACCUGCCAGGCUUCCAGGCUGGCUUUGGCUCCAUCGUGGUGCUCACUCAAACCCACAUUCUCUGCGAUGGGCUGCAUCACACUUUUCUGCAAUUGCCUGGCUAGCUUUGAAUUCUCCCGACUGGCCAUAUGGCCUGACACAGAGCAAGCCUUCUGUGACCACCUGGAGAGUGAAUGAAUGAGCAAAUGGAUCAUCAUAGUCAACACUAUAUAGUCAUUUGUGAUUGGCUUAUUGAGUUUCCUUCCUCUAUGAGCUGGGUCUAUAGUCUUCCGCCAGCCUUACUCCUACUCACUUGAUCCAGUUUCUAAGAAACUGUCUGACUUCUCUCUACCAUCCAGGUUGAACAAGGCCUCUGGGAAUGGAGGGUAGGGAGGACUUUUUGAUAAGGGUUUUCCUCCAGGAUAAGAAGUCUCCUUCUUCUUCACCCACACCAUCUUUUUUUUUUUUGUUUUAACUUCCAAAGAAGCAAAGUCAAAAUCACAAAGAUCCUCAGGCAUCCUCAGGGUGGUCCUCCUCCUCUUCUGUCAACUCUCAUUUAUAAACCCAUCAUUCAUUGGUGGUACCUAGGUACUGGCCUGAGCACACAGACCAACAUUAGAUAUUUAUUUAUUAUCUGAAAAUUCCCCCCAACCCCCCCAACCAUGGGGCACAGAUCAUACUAUCAAGCUCACCCUCCUUAUAUCCCAAGUCUCUAGUACUUAAGCGCAGUAAAUAUUAACUGAGUGAAUGGAUGAGUGAGUGCAGUCUAGAUUUUUGCUAUGAUCCCAGCAGCAGAGCACUGUGAGGACAGGUUUAAGACUAUCCACCCUUCCCUGAAGAGUCACCUAUUUGCUUAUUCUCAAGGUCCAUUUGAUGUGUUUGACUUUUAUGCAAGCCCUAGAGGGUGGAAGGAAGAAUAGUCCCUGCCUAGGUCCCUUAGAUACGGAUCAAUUCACUGUGAAAUAUUUGUACCACAGAGAACCCCCACCUCAACCCCAACCUAUGCCUGUUCUUUUUCUACCUGGGAAUUCUUUCUAUCAGAUGACUUAAGAUGACUUAAUUUACCUUCACAUGCAACACAGAGACAGUUCACUAUGAUCUCAGAUGUAUUUUUUUUAAGACAUAGAAAAAGUUUGGAGGAAAAUAUGUUUAAACAUUAAUAGCAGUUGCCUCUGGGUGUGGAGUUUAUGGUUAAUUUUUUUUUUUAUGUUUUUCAAAAAUUUUCUACAAUGGACUCCUAUUUUCAUAAUAAAGAAAUUUUGGCAGAA